GACACGCUGGCGGCGUGCUUAACACAUGCAAGUCGAACGGGAGUAUUGAAGAAGCUUGCUUUAGAGAUACUUUAGUGGCGGACGGGUGAGUAACGCGUGAGGAGCUGUCCUAUGCAGGGGGACAACAGCUGGAAACGGCUGCUAAUACCCCAUAAGCCGAGAGGUAAAAGGAUCAAUCCGGCAGAGGAGGUACUCGCGUCCUAUCAGCUAGUAGGUGAGGUAACGGCUCACCUAGGCGAAGACGGGUAGCCGGCCUGAGAGGGCGAACGGCCACACUGGAACUGAGAUACGGUCCAGACUCCUACGGGAGGCAGCAGUGGGGAAUAUUGGGCAAUGGGGGAAACCCUGACCCAGCGACGCCGCGUGGGUGAAGAAAUCCUUCGGGAUGUAAAGCCCUGUUGUAUGGGAAGAGCGGAAGACGGUACCAUACGAGGAAGCCCCGGCAAACUACGUG
RNAcentral lists this ribosomal RNA (454 nucleotides) under uncultured bacterium. RNAcentral describes it as "bacterial SSU rRNA". It matches the Rfam family "Bacterial small subunit ribosomal RNA", at positions 33 to 507 of the family's 1533-position model. The record is from RNAcentral.